RNAcentral lists this ribosomal RNA (329 nucleotides) under uncultured eukaryote. RNAcentral describes it as "partial 18S ribosomal RNA". It matches the Rfam family "Eukaryotic small subunit ribosomal RNA", at positions 1470 to 1796 of the family's 1831-position model. The record is from RNAcentral.
CCCUUAGAUGUUCUGGGCCGCACGCGCGCUACACUGAUGCAUUCAACGAGUCUAAAACCUGCUCUGAUAGGGGUGGGUAAUCUUUUGAAUGUGCAUCGUGAUUGGGAUAGAUGAUUGCAAUUUUUCAUCUUCAACGAGGAAUGCCUAGUAAACGCAAGUCAUCAGCUUGCAUUGAUUACGUCCCUGCCCUUUGUACACACCGCCCGUCGCUCCUACCGAUUGAAUGAUCCGAUGAAUAUCAUGGAUUGAGGAUGCAAGUAGGUCAGCCUAUCUUCAUCUUCGAGAAGUGAAGUAAAUCUUAUCAUUUAGAGGAAGGAGAAGUCGUAACA